AACGAACGCUGGCGGCAGGCCUAAUACAUGCAAGUCGAACGCCGUAGCAAUACGGAGUGGCAGACGGGUGAGUAACACGUGGGAACAUACCCUUCGGUUCGGGAUAACUCAGGGAAACUUGAGCUAAUACCGGAUACGUCCGCGAGGAGAAAGAUUCAUCGCCGGAGGAUUGGCCCGCGUCUGAUUAGCUUGUUGGUGAGGUAAUGGCUCACCAAGGCGACGAUCAGUAGCNGGUCUGAGAGGAUGAUCAGCCACAUUGGGACUGAGACACGGCCCAAACUCCUACGGGAGGCAGCAGUGGGGAAUAUUGGACAAUGGGCGCAAGCCUGAUCCAGCCAUGCCGCGUGAGUGAUGAAGGCCCUAGGGUUGUAAAGCUCUUUUACCCGGGAAGAUAAUGACUGUACCGGGAGAAUAAGCCCCGGCUAACUUCGUGCCAGCCGCCGCCGUAAU
RNAcentral lists this ribosomal RNA (450 nucleotides) under uncultured bacterium. RNAcentral's name for it is "bacterial SSU rRNA". It matches the Rfam family "Bacterial small subunit ribosomal RNA", at positions 29 to 524 of the family's 1533-position model. The record is from RNAcentral.